This 363-nucleotide ribosomal RNA is filed under the name Triticum aestivum (bread wheat). Its description in RNAcentral is "partial small subunit ribosomal RNA". The record is from RNAcentral. Lineage: Eukaryota; Viridiplantae; Streptophyta; Magnoliopsida; Poales; Poaceae.
CAACAUUAUUUAUGGCCCAAAGAAUUUGUUAUACAUUCUGAUCAUGAAUCUUUGAAACAUAUUAAAAGUCAAGCUAAACUAAAUCGUAGACAUGCUAAAUGGGUUGAAUUCAUUGAGACUUUCCCUUAUGUCAUUAAACACAAGAAGGGAAAAGAAAAUGUUAUUGCUGAUGCAUUGUCUCGUCGCUAUACUAUGCUUUCACAACUUGACUUCAAAAUAUUUGGUUUGGAGACCAUCAAAGAUCAAUAUGUGCAUGAUGCUGAUUUUAAAGAUGUAAUGCAGAAUUGUAAAGAAGGAAGAAUGUGGAACAAGUUUGUUGUUAACGAUGGAUUUGUGUUUCGUGUUAACAAGCUAUGUAUUCCA